Molecule: ribosomal RNA, 508 nt
Filed under: uncultured archaeon
Lineage: Archaea
Description: bacterial SSU rRNA
Rfam family: Archaeal small subunit ribosomal RNA
Source: RNAcentral
AUAAUACCCGAUAGUUCUCGGCUGCUGGAAUGCACCGAGUACUAAAGCUCCGGCGCCUAAGGAUGGGUCUGCGGCCUAUCAGGUAGUAGUGGGUGUAGCGUACCUACUAGCCUACGACGGGUACGGGUUGUGAGAGCAAGAGCCCGGAGAUGGAUUCUGAGACACGAAUCCAGGCCCUACGGGGUGCAGCAGGCGCGAAAACUUUACAAUGCUGGCAACAGCGAUAAGGGGACCUCGAGUGCCAGGUUACAAAUCUGGCUGUCGUGAUGCCUAAAAAGCAUUGCAUAGCAAGGGCCGGGCAAGACCGGUGCCAGCCGCCGCGGUAACACCGGCGGCUCGAGUGGUAACCGUUAUUAUUGGGUCUAAAGGGUCUGUAGCCGGCCGGAUAAGUCUCUUGGGAAAUCUGGCAGCUUAACUGUCAGGCUUUCAGGAGAUACUGUCUGGCUCGAGGCCGGGAGAGGUGAGAGGUACUUCAGGGGUAGGGGUGAAAUCUUGUAAUCCUUGAAGG